Molecule: ribosomal RNA, 465 nt
Filed under: uncultured bacterium
Lineage: Bacteria
Description: partial 16S ribosomal RNA
Rfam family: Bacterial small subunit ribosomal RNA
Source: RNAcentral
GACGAACGCUGGCGGCGUGCUUAACACAUGCAAGUCGAACGGAAAGGCCCUGCUUGCAGGGUACUCGAGUGGCGAACGGGUGAGUAACACGUGGGUGAUCUGCCCUGCACUUCGGGAUAAGCCUGGGAAACUGGGUCUAAUACCGGAUAGGAGCCAUUUUUAGUGUGAUGGUUGGAAAGUUUUUUCGGUGUAGGAUGAGCACGCGGCCUAUCAGCUUGUUGGUGGGGUAAUGGCCUACCAAGGCGGCGACGGGUAGCCGGCCUGAGAGGGUGGACGGCCACAGUGGGACUGAGAUACGGCCCAGACUCCUACGGGAGGCAGCAGUGGGGAAUAUUGCACAAUGGGCGCAAGCCUGAUGCAGCGACGCCGCGUGGGGGAUGACGGCCUUCGGGUUGUAAACUCCUUUCGCUAGGGACGAAGCUUUUUGUGACGGUACCUAGAUAAGAAGCACCGGCUAACUACGUG